RNAcentral lists this transfer RNA (62 nucleotides) under Fukomys damarensis (Damara mole-rat). It matches the Rfam family "tRNA". Rfam says of the family: Transfer RNA (tRNA) molecules are approximately 80 nucleotides in length. Their secondary structure includes four short double-helical elements and three loops (D, anti-codon, and T loops). The record is from Rfam by way of RNAcentral. Lineage: Eukaryota; Metazoa; Chordata; Mammalia; Rodentia; Bathyergidae.
GGGAGCUCAGUGGUAGAGCGUUUGCCUAGCAUGGAAAAGGCCCUGAGUUCAAUCUCAGCCCU